This 37304-nucleotide long non-coding RNA is filed under the name Ananas comosus (pineapple). Its description in RNAcentral is "long non-coding RNA (ACOM_LNC020821)". The record is from RNAcentral. Lineage: Eukaryota; Viridiplantae; Streptophyta; Magnoliopsida; Poales; Bromeliaceae.
UGAUCCAUAGCGGUAGAUUUCAUUUCUGCAUUUACUACUAUCUUUGCUCCCUUCUGUAGACUUAGUGGGUGGACCGAUGUUGUUGAGGGCGGCACCCACUGAGGACUACCUGUUUUUACAGUAGUUCUCACGCCCUGUUAUUACAGUAGUUCUCACGCCAGUGCGAGUAGCUCUGUAUUUUCGGUAUUGAACUAUGUAUAUGGAACUCCGUUUGUUUAGCUUCUGUUUACUCUAGCAGCUCUAUACUACUGUUUGUAGUAUUGUAUGGUUUACAGGUACUGCUAUCGCUUCGUAUACAGGGGAAAUUCCUUUGUAUACGGCGGAUUUGUCGGCGUGCCCGGGGACGUGUAAUCCGGAGCGUGACAGAUUAAAUUAGUAUCAGAGCUUAGCACUAGGUCGUUGGGACCUAGAAAAUCUAAGUUUGGCAAACCUUAGGAAGGUAAGAUGCGAGAGGCGUAAUUUAUUGCGAAAGUCAAUGAUUAAUUGUUCUAACUCCUUUCAGAGUGGGGUGAGUGAUUGAAGGAGUUCCUGUUUUGCCCUGAGCAAUUAUGUUGGCUGCAGACAACAUAAUUUUGGAGGAAAACAGGGACCGCCUUCCAGACUUUCGUUGAUUGGGUCGAGAGUGUUUAUGUUUCAUCUGACCCCGAUCUGUUCUUUUCAGCUAUGUAUCGUCGCCGAGGUCGACCGUCGUUACGGGAGCGUGCCCAGUUGUCGCAGGAUCGUGCGGGACCUUCCGAGAUGCUCGAGCAUGCGGAGCCGAGUACCCAGCGGGAGCAGAGUGUUCGACCAGAGACGAGUACAUCUCCGGACUUGAGUGCACAGUUAGCCGCCCUGACAGAGGUGACGAGGCGGCAGGAGGAGUUGUUAGAAAGGAUGGGCGAGAGGCUAGCUUCACUCUAGAGUUCAGCACCGAGGGCACCAGAGUCGUCUGUUCCACCUCCUAUUACUCCAGUGACAGCACCAGUUGCAGCAGUACCUCCGCCAGCAGCCGUUCUAGUAGCGCCAGUUGCGCCUGCUGGGGGGCCAGUACAGUUGACAGAGGCAGAGCAGGAGCGGUGGACGGAGAGGUUGGCUCGUUUUCGCCGUUUGAUCCACCGAUUUUCGAUGGCAGUUGCACUGAGGCCUGGGUUGUUGAGGGAUGGGUCAGUGCGAUGGAGAAGUUAUUUGAGGAUCUGUUCAUUCCUGAGGGGGAGCAGGUGUCUUUGGGAGUCCAUUGCUUGGCAGGUGAUGCCCACGCUUGGUGGAGGAGAGUGAGGAGAGAGCAGGGACUAGUAGUGUUGCAGCUGAGAUGGGAUGAGUUCUGUGGAAUGCUGUUUGGGAUAUUCUUUCCCAACAGUGUGAAACAGAAGCUCGAGGAGGAUUUGAAGAGGAUCCAGCAGGGGGAUCGUCCAGUGCAGGAGUACAUUCGGGAGUUUACUCGACUCCUGAAUGUGUGCCAUUUGUGGCCAGGGACGAGGCACACAGGGUUUAUCUGUUUGAGCAGGGGCUGAGACCCGACAUCUUCAGGUUGGCGCGGACGCAGAGGUCGAGGACUCUGGAUGCGUCCAUAGAGCAGGCCUUAUAGGUGGAGAGAGGUGAGGUGUCGCUACAGGAGAGGACUCAGGCCGUGGGGCAGAGUCAGGAUAGGAAGCGCCCCUUUUCAGAUGAUGCUGGACAGUCGAGCAGCAGGCGUCCGCCGAGGCCUCCACGAUCACGCUCUCAGGGUCGUGGGUUUUCGGGGCGUCAUCGUUCCAGGGGAUCCCGUCCGCAGGGGCAGACUCAGAGGACACCGCAGUGUGUGAUCUGCGGGGGACUACACUGGCCCUGGUAGUGAGAGCAGAGAGAAGGCCGUUGCUAUUCUUGCGGUCAGCCCGGGCAUAUGAGGUCAGUUUGCCCCCGUGCAGCAUCACCAGCGUAAUCCACUGCAUCAGCGCAGCCGGCAUCUCAGCCGUCCUUUGGAGCAGCACCGGGUUUCCGCCAGGAAGAUAGAUCGUCUAUACCGCGUUAGGGGGAGCGACGACAGCAAGCUCCGAGUGGCAGGGUUUAUGCAGCUCAGGUAGUGGAUUCUUCAGCAGCCGACCGUGUGGUGGCAGGUAUCAUUUUGAUUUUAGGCAUUCGUACUCACACUCUUUUUGAUACCGGUGCCACGCAUUCUUUUGUUAGUCGAGCAUUUGCAUUGUUGCAUGGUCUAGAGUUAGGAGUAUUGUCACAGGCACGAAAGGUGCAGAUCCCGGACCAUGUUUUACAGGUUGCAAAGUGUUGUUGGUCGUGUCCGGUGCAGUUAGACUCGUGGAUCAUGCCCGCAGACCUGUUGGUGUUAUGGCAGCUGCAGGACUUCGACGUCAUGCUCGGUAUGGAUUGGCUGGCGCGGUACUAUGCUACUAUCGAUUUCCUCCGGAGUUGACGAUGAUGCCGCCGGAGAGGGAGAUAAAGUUUGUGAUUGAUGUGGUUCCUGGAACUGCACCAAUCUCAAAGGCACCUUAGAGGAUGGCACCGGCGGAGCUGAGAGAGCUAAAGGCGCAGCUUCAGGAUUUGAUGGAUAAGGGGUUUGUGAGACCCAGUGUGUCGCCUUGGGGAGCGCCGGUGUUGUUUGUAAAGAAGAAGGAUGGUUCGCUCAGAUUGUGUGUGGAUUACCGGGAGCUAAAUAAGGUGACCAUCAAGAAUAAGUAUCCUUUGCCGUGCAUUGAUGAUCUGUUUAAUCAGCUGCAAGGAUCUUAUGUCUUCUCGAAGAUUGACUUCCAGUCAGGUUACCACCAGUUAAGGGUGAGGGCCGAGGAUGUUUCCAAGACGGCUUUUCGGACUCGGUACGGGCAUUAUGAGUUUACGGUGAUGCCAUUUGGAUUGACGAAUGCCCCUGCCACAUUCAUGGAUUUGAUGAACAGAGUGUUCAAGCUGUUCUUGGACAGGUUUGUGGUAGUCUUCAUUGAUGAUAUCUGAUAUACUCCCGGAGUGAUGCCGAGCAUGAGGAGCACUUGAGGACUGUGCUAUAGCUUCUGAGAGAGAAUAAGUUGUAUGCCAAGUUAAAGAAGUGCGAGUUCUGGUUACGGGAGGUUGCUUUCUUGGGCCACGUGAUAUCAGCAGAGGGAGUAGCAGUUGACCCGAAGAAGAUUGAUGCUAUUCGGGAUUGGCCCAGACCGACGACGGUUACAGAGGUAAGGAGUUUCCUUGGGCUUGCUGGUUAUUACCGUCGGUUUGUGGAAGGCUUUGCGAAGCUUUCCACACCCCUCACUCGUUUAACGCAAAAUGAGAUUAGAUUCAUCUGGAGUGAGGAUUGCCAGAGGAGCUUUGAUGAGUUGAGACAGAGGUUGACGUCAGCUCUUAUCCUUACCCUUCCUAUGAUGGGGGAAGGAUUUGUGAUCUACAGUGAUGCAUCGCACAGUGGACUGGGUUGUGUGCUGAUGCAGCAUGGUAGGGUAAUUGCUUAUACUUCACGGCAGUUAAAGAAUUAUGAGAAGAAUUACCCUACACAUGACUUGGAGCUUGCCGCGGUAGUCUUUGCUUUAAAGUUGUGGCGGCAUUACUUGUACGGUGAGCACUGCGAGGUUUUUACUGAUCAUAAAAGUCUCAAGUAUCUGUUCACCCAAAAGGAGUUGAAUCUGAGGCAACGCCGGUGGUUGGAGUUGCUGAAGGACUAUGAUAUUAGUAUUCAGUAUCAUCCCGGCAAGGCAAAUGUAGUGGCAGAUGCGUUGAGCAGGAAGGUAGUGUAGAGCUGGAGCAUGUUGAUCACUCGGCAGAGACCGUUACUCGAGGAGCUGCGGCGGCUGAGGCUCGAGGUAGUGUCCCCAGAAUUUACUCCGAGACUGAUGUCUAUGAUCUUGCAGCCCACUCUGUUGUAUAGGAUUCGAGAGAAACAGAGUGGAGACCCGCACUUGUCGAGGAUUCGAGAGCAGCUUGAGAGGGGACAGGCCGAGGGCUUUGUUGUGGAUAGUUCGGGAGUACUGCGGUACAGGGACCGACUGUGUGUACCUAUGGAUUAGGAGAUCCGAGAGGACAUUUUGAGAGAGGCUCACUGUUCACCUUAUACGGUUCACCCCGGUGGAACCAAGAUGUAUAAGGAUUUAAAGGCUCAGUUUUGGUGGAAUGGAAUGAAGAGGGACAUUGGUAGAUUUGUGGCUCAGUGUCUGACUUGUCAAUAGGUAAAGGCCGAGCAUCAGGUACCUGCUGGCAAGCUUCAGAGUCUGGCAGUACCCGAGUGGAAAUGGGAGCAGAUUACGAUGGACUUUGUCGUCGGAUUGCCGAGAGCACAGGGUGGUUUUGAUGUGAUUUGGGUGAUAGUGGACAGACUGACCAAGUCUGCUCACUUCUUACCAGUGCAGACCACUUGGUCCAGAGAGAGACUCGCUCAGUUGUACUUGGAUGAGAUAGUGAGGUUGCAUGGCGUGCCCACUUUGAUAGUAUCCGACCGAAACCCGAGAUUCGUCUCGCACUUUUGGAGGUGUCUUCAGACGGCCUUGGGCACUCUGUUGCAGUUCAGCACAGCGCUUCACCCACAGACAGAUGGUCAGUCAGAGCGGACCAUUCAGACUCUAGAGGACAUGCUGAGGGCCUGUGUCCUAGACUUUGGAAGAGGGUGGUAUCGGCAUUUGAGACUGGUUGAGUUUGCGUACAACAACAGCUAUCAAGCGAGCAUCCAGAUGGCUCCGUUUAAGGUGUUGUAUGAAAGCAGAUGUCAAUCCCCUUUGUUUUGGAGUGAUGUGGGUGAGAGGAGGACGCUUGGGCCUGAGAUUCUGAUUGACGCUGAGGAAAAGGUAAAGAAGGCGCGACGGCACAUGUUAGCAGCCCAGAGUCGACAGAGGAGCUAUGCUGAUACUCGGAGACGAGACUUGGAGUUCCAGGUGGGAGAUUGUUUUUCUUAAAGUCUCGCCGUCCAGAGGGAUUCGCCGAUUUGGAGUACGUGAAAAGCUCAGUCCACGUUUUGUAGGCCCUUUCGAAGUAUUGGAGCAAGUCGGGCCAGUGGCUUACAGGAUUGCUCUACUACCAAGACUAGCCGGCAUUCACGAUGUCUUCCACGUCUCGGCUUUGAGGAAAUAUGUGUUCGACCCCUCCCACGUGAUUGACUUCACUCCGCUUGAGAUUGGCAUGGACCUGAGUUACGAGGAACGACCGGUGUGGAUUCUGGCUCGUGAGUCGAGGAAAUUGCGCAACCGGGUCAUACCCUUUGUAAAGGUGCAAUGGAAUAAUCACGAGGAGCGGGAGGCGACUUGGGAGCCGGAGACGGAGAUGAAGGAGUCCUACCCCUACCUAUUUGAAACUCGGGAUUGAGGUAUGUAUUCAGUUUCGCGGAUGAAACUUUUUGUAGUGGGGGAGGAUGUAGUGUUCCUGAGCUUUGGAUAGGAUUGGCUUCAGUAUUAGUGACUGGUCGAUAUCUCUGGAGAGUGUCGGACUGAGUCGAAGUCAAUUCUGUGCGAAUUGGAUGCAGAAUUGGACUCGGUGCACUCAAAUAAGCAAAACUAAAGUUUUGCGAGAUCCGGGCGCCCAGAACAUGGUUUAGGUCGCCCAGAACUGAGUGUUAAAAUUUAACUGAAACUGGAGCCAAUUCGGAUCCUAUGUUCCGGGCGCCCAGAAGUGGGUCCGAAAAUUCUACAUCGUGAAUAUCGUUUGCUUCGACGCGUGGCAGGGUGGUAGGUGAGGUCCGCCGAAGCCGUUUACGGGCGCAGCACACCGCGAGCCGAGAAUCCGAGGAGGAUGAUUUGUGCAGCCUGGAUGUUUCAGUCGCCCAGAACAUGGUUCCGGGCGCCCAGAACAUGGUUCCGGGCGCCCAGAAAUGCCCAUUUCAGCAGGGACACCGGAUUGCAGCUGUUUCUCUUGGGGCUUAUUUUAUCCCUCCAGCACCCUAUAAAUACCUGGUAUACGUCCCCUUUGAGAUCUUUUUACCUGUUCUUCACAGAGAACUUAGAUUUUGCUCCUUAAUCCCUCCAAUCUUUCCAAAUUGCAUCAAGAUCCACAUCUCCAAGAGUUGCGAGGUACUGAUUCUGUAGUUUUCCCAGCGACGACCUUCAGUGUUUUGGCUUGUGCGCGACGUAGGGAUAUCGGAUUUUGACGAAACUUGGUUUGCUAGAUUCUAGACUUUCAGAGGAAUCCACGAAGCCCUGACUUGCAGAAUUUAGUGAAGGUUAGCUCAGUCGAACUCAGGUUUUCCUCUGCUGCUGUUGAUAUGGACAGAAUUGCAUGUUUUUGAGUUUUCUUGGGGUGAACUUUGGAAGCCGGGGCUUUGUGGAGUUGAGUCACAUCCCCUACCAACCAAUACUGGAAUUGGGACCAUCUUCACCUGAUUUGGAGAUUGUUAGGUGAGUUUUGACAUUGGAAUUGGAUAAAUCAUAAGCUUAAGUGCUGAAAUUGACGAAUUGUAAUGCAUUUUGGGUGAAUUGUAAUGUCCAGGUUUUGAGGGGAUUGUUGCUGGUUUGGAGGUGUUUCCAGCUGUGCUACUUGUGAUCCGAGACCAUGUUGCUGCCAGAGGAAUCGCGUUUGAGGUGGGUUUGCAUCGGAUUACUCCUAAGUAAUGAGUAGAUGUUUAGUCGACAUGUAUGUUUUGUUGUUCGGUCUACAAUGUGAUUAGAUUAAAUUCAGUGAUAAGUUGUAGCUGUAACCUGAAUUUAAGCAUACUAAAUAAGUGACAUUUACACAUGUCGGACUUGAAAAAUUGACUUAGGAGAAAACCUGCGUUUUGACCCGUCAUAUGCUUAAACUACCAGAUUUAGCUCUAGGAGCCGUGGGUUGUCUGUAUCGUUGUAGUAUCAGUGCGAUGGAUAUCUGGGGUAGUUUAGAAGGCAUUUACGCUCGUGCUGGGGUGCCGAGCUUAUUUUUCAGCAGAGUCUAGGCUGUUUCGGGUCGUUGGGUGCCGUCCGGGUUGGCGGUGGACCUAGAUUCUUGUUUUGGUUUCAGAUUGUGCCGAGGGCACGUGGGUUUGGUUUGUAGACCUGUUUUGACCCUAUUUACAUGACUUUGGCUAGUUGGAGCCUGAUUGAGCUCGACAGAGAAACGCUGCAUACUCGAUUGGGUAGCUCCCACAAGUGUCACUCCGGAGACGGGCGCUGUGCUUUCGCAUUGGUGUCGCUCAUGCCGAUUGGACUUGCUCUCCACGAACUAGUAGUGUGGAGGUAGCUGGACAGUCACAACUGGCCAGGGACGGGUGUGUUCACAGUCCAAGGGACGGGUAUGCUUACAGUCUCGAUUGGAUUGAGUCAGAUUUGACAUUUCCUACAGUUGGUUAGUGUAGAGCAUGAUAGUGUAGUGAUCCAUAGCUGUAGAUUUCAUUCCUGCAUUUACUGCUAUCUUUGCUCCCUUCUGUAGACUUAGUGGGUGGACCGAUAUUGUUGAGGGCGGCACCCACUGAGGACUACCUGUUUUUACAGUAGUUCUCACGCCCUGUUAUUACCCCCUGUUUUUGCAGAGCCACCAUCGUCGGCUGCUGCUGUCGCAGAUCAGGAUCGAGGCAAGGGCGUCACGAGUUAGAGCCCUACCAGACGUGCCGAGCUAGAGGUACCCUUACUGCAGGUAGAUGUUUUGCUUUGAGUUCAUGUACAUAGUAUGCUUAACUCGCCAGUGCGAGUAGCUCUGUAUUUUCAGUAUUGAACUAUGUAUAUGGAACUCUGUUUGUUUAGCUUCUGUUUACUCUAGCAGCUCUAUACUACUGUUUGUAGUAUUUUAUGGGUUACAGGAACUGCUAUCGCUUCGUAUACAGGGAAAAUUCCUUUGUAUACGGCGGAUUUGUUGGCGUGCCCGGAGAACGUGUAAUCCAGGGCGUGACAGGUGAGGUCCGCCGGAGCCGUUUACGGGCACAGCACACCGCGGGCGGAGGAAUCGAAGGGGAGCAUUUGUGCAGGCUGGAAGUUCUGGGCGCCCAGAACUUGGUUUAGGGCGCCCAGAUCUCGGAUUUUCUGCAGGGAUAGCAGGUUUCAACAAUUGUUCCUGAGGGUUAUCUGACCACUCCAGCACCCUAUAAAUACCUGGUGUACAUCCCCUUUGAGCUCUUUUCACCUGCCCUUCACAGAGAACCCUGAAUUUGCUCUUCAAUCCCUCAAAUAUUCUUAAUUUGCAUCAAGAUCCACAACUCCAAGAUUUGCAAGGUGCUGAUUCUGCAGUUUUUCCAGCGACGACCUUCAGUGUUUUGGCUCGUGCGCGACGUAGGGAAGUCGGAUUGCGACGAAACUUGGUUUGUUGGAUUCUAGACUUCCAGAGGAAUCCAGGAAGCCUUGAAUUGCGGAUUUUGGUUAAGGUUAGCUCAGUCAAUUUCUCAGGUUUCUGGACUGUUGUGGUUUUGGACCUGAUUUUUGGAUUUCUUGAAUUUUCUUGAUACGAUCGUUGGAAACAGGGGGAUUUUGGACCUGAGACUCAUACUCCAUCACUACUCACUGCUUUUGGAACUCCACCUCAACUGAUUUGGAGUCGGAUGGUAAUGUUAGCAUUACAAGUGGAUAAUUUAGCUUAAGUGCUGAAAUUUUAGUUGUAUUGAUGGAUUUUGGAUCUUGUUAAAGUCUAGAGUUUGGAGAACUCUUGUUACUGUCUUGGAGGAGCUUCGGUUGAUCCAGCAGAGGAAGUCCUUGUGGUUCGAGACCUCCUUGCUGUCAGGAAGUGCUUUAGAGAUGGGUUACAUCGGUUUAUUCCAAAGCACAGUAUUAGUCGACAUGCAUGAUUUCCAGUUUUUGUAAAUCAUAUUGUAGCUCAAUUUCGUUGAUUGUAUCAUGGAUGAAAUCAGUAUUGAGGACAUGAUUAGUAAACCAUAAAUAUACAUGUUCGACUUGGAUUUGACUUAGGAGAAAACCGCGAGUAUAACCUGUCAUAUGCUUAAACUACCUGAUUUAGCUCUAGGAGCAGUUGUAAUUUUGUAUCGUUGCAGUAUCGAUAUGACGGAUACCCCAGGUAGUUUAGAGUUCAGUUACGCUCGUGCUGGGAUGCCGAGUGUAUUUUUACAGUAGCAUUAAGGCUGUUCCGGACUGUUGGGUGCUGUCGAAGUUGACGGUGGACCCAUAUCGCCUUUUUGGCGUCGGAUUGUGCCGAAGGCACGUGACCUGUUGGUUGUUAGACCAGUUAGAGUCGGUUACUUGGACUUUGGCUUGAGAGAGCCUGAUUGAGCUCGACAGAGAUACGUUCCAUACUCAAUUGGGUAGCUCCCACGAGUGCCACUCCGGAGACGGGCGCUGUGCUUUCGCAUUGAUGUCGUGCAUGCCGGUUAGACUUGCUCUCCACGGACUGGAUAGUGUGGAGGUAGCUGGAUAGUCCCAACUGGGUGGGGCUGGUGUGUUCACAGUCCCUGGGACGGGUAUAUUUACAGUCCCUAAAGAGAUUAGGUCAGAUUUGACAUUACUACAGCAGGUCAGCUUAGAGCAUGAUAGUGUAAUAAAUGGUAGCUGUAGAUUUUAUUCCAGCAUUUAUUCUACCUUUGCUCCCUUCUGUAGACUUAGUGGGUGGACCGAUAUUGUUGAGGGCGGCACCCACUGAGAACUACUUGUUUUUACAGUAGUUCUCACGCCCUGUUGUUACCCCGUUUUUGCAGAGCCAUCGUCUUCGGCUGCUGCUGUUGCGGAUCAGGAUCGAGGCAAGGGCGUCGCGAGUUAGAGCUCUACCACUACAACAAAAGCGGUCUAUAGCGACACUUUUAAAUGUAGGUACAUGUCAAAAAAGUGCUGCUAGCUAAAAUUACCGACACUUUUAAAAAGUGUUGCUAUAUGUGGGGUCGGUAGGUAUAUAGUAACAGUUAAAGUGUGUCGCUAUAAUCUAAAAGAGUGCUGCUAAUUUACAAAUACUUAUUUAAGCAUUUAGCAACCGCCGAAACUCUAUCUCGUUGGCUGCGGUGGCGGAGGAGGACGACAGGAAAGGCUCUUCGUCUAGAAUUUCAAUGGAUUGAGUGAAGAGAGAAGAAAAGAUGGUAAUUGAUUUUUCUUUUUUUUUUCUUUUCUGUUUGUAAUCGGGUCCAAUGGACUGGAUGUGGUGGGUUGAGUAGAGUAAUCUUUUAUUUUUGGUUGGAUUGGGCUUUAUAUUUAGGCAUAAGUAGAUGUUUUUUUAAGUUUUAGCAUAAAUGGGACACUUACUCAAAAGUGUCUCAAACAUGUGUCCCUAUAACCUAAUUCUGUUGUAGUGUACCCGACGAGCCGAGCUAGAGGUGCCCCUACUGCAGGUAGUUGUUUUGUUGGAGUUUAUGUACAUACAGUUAUUUUAACUCGCUAGUGCGAGUAGUUUCGUAUUUUGGAUUUGAUGUAUGUAUAUGGAACUCAGUUUGUGUUUAGUUUCUGGUUCUUCUAGCAGCUCUAUACUACUGUUUGUAGUAUUGUCUGUUAUACAGGUACAGUUAUCGCUUCGUAUACAGGGGAAAUUUCUUUGUAUACGGCGGAUUUGUCGGCGUGCCCGGGGAUCGAGUAAUCCGGGGCGUGACAGCGUAUAUAUUGCUAAUCCCUAUAUCAAGCAGCCAUAUUCGCGAUAAGCUCGACAUGGUCAAACCCAGCAUUUCAAAUCGAAUCCUUUUUAUUGGGUUGAUUGAGCAGCCAUCUUCGUAAUAGGCUAGGCAUGAUCAAACCCGCGCACAAAAAAUAAUAAAACAAAAAAACAACAAAUAAUUUUAAAAAUGAGCAUAUUGUGAUUUGCCAUCUUCGUGAUAGGCAUUGUUCGAACCAUUCGUCAUCUUCAUGAGAGGCACGGUUCGACUCGAUCAAUUUGUCAUCUUCGUGAUAGACAUUGUUCGAAUCAUUUGCCAUCUUCGUAAUAGGCAUGGUUCGACUCGAUCAAUUAGCCAUCUUCGUGAUAGGUACUAUUCGAACUAUAUGCCAUCUUCGUGAUAUGCACGAUUUGGCUUGAUCAAUUAACCAUCUUCAUGAUAGACACUAUUCGAACCAUAUGCCAUCUGUGUGAUAGGUACGGUCCGAUGUGACCACAUUGUCGUGAUAGGCACAUGUUCGAUCAAAUUGCCAUCUUCGUGAUAGGCAUUACUCAAUUUAAUCGAACCUAAUGUUUAGGACGGGUUGUCUAAGCGACGUCCUCUGAGUGCAACAUAAAGAUUGAUGAUUCAUGAAUUUGGCAUUGAUUUUAGACCGGACCAAAUCAAUUCGAAUUGAAUCCGACAUGAAAAAAAGGAACUGUUUAGAAUUAAUUAAUUCAUAAAUUUAAAGGAGCCUAAUCUACAAUUCACUUAUGUGCUCAAUGAACAAAAUCCAACAUACAAGGCCCAAAUAUCAUAGACUCAACCCAUACGCAGUCCAUCAACAAAACUAAAUUCAAUCCAGCCCAAAACCUGAAUCCAGCCCAUAUACAAUGCAGAUUCAGUCUAUAUACGGGCCCUGCAUAUAGCCCGUAUGCAAAUAUAUAUAGGCCCAAUCUACUCACGGGCCCUGAAUCCAGCUCGUAUACAAUGCUGGCCCAGUUGCUUAUGGAUUGAAAACCCAGUCCACAUAAAAAUAAAGUCCAGUCUACAUAUGGGCUCCAAAUUUAGCCCACAUGCUAAUAAAGCACAAAAUUAGAUUCAGAACCUAGUCCAUAUAUAAAUAUAUUCCUUGAUUCAGUCUAUAUGCAAAUUCGGGUCCAAAACCCAUAAAACCGAAAGUCCACAAUAAAAUCCAACCUAAUCUAGUGCGGCUUAUCAAACCAUCAAAACCCAAGAGCAUAAAACCCAAAACGACCAAACCCGUAUCAUCCAAAAUGCCUUCAACCCAAACAAAAAAAAAUGGGCUUCCAAAUGCCUUCAACUCAAACAAAAAAAUGGGCUUCUAUCACGAACUAAUUUCAUGAAUCAAAAAAGAGGUGCUAUCAUGGACUACCUUCAGGAAUCAAAAAUGGGAUUUCAUCAUAGGCUCAUAUCAUGAACUAACUUCAUGAAUCAAAAAGGGAUUUCUAUCAUGAGCUAAAGAUAGCUUUCCGCCAUAAUGAGCUUUCAUCAUAAACUCAUAUUGUAACGACUCGAUCCGGUAGCAACAAUAAUUCGUUGGGCCCAAACCAUUGGCCUAAAAUGCUUAAGCCCAGUUAUUAUUACUAGUAUGUAGGCUUCAUAUAUUCUAAUCAAAAUUAUUUUUCCAUCUGAUGUGGGGCUAUUGGGGAGUUUGUGGAAUCAUUUUUCUAUCUGAUGUAGGACUAUUGCGGCGUUAUAAACUCCCCUUGUUUAGACCCUGAUCCGAUGAGAGACUAUUGGAAAGUUCGUGGAAUCAUUUUCCUAUCCAAUGUAGGACUAUUGCAGCAUUACAAACUCCCUCUGUUUAGACUCUGACCUAAACCAAAUCACAGAUGCAGACCAGAAUUACCAAGCAAUAUGAGAUUCUAGAGGUGGCUUCUACGGGUUCAAGAGGUGGUUCCCAUCAAACCCAUUGGUGUAGCACUUUGUCCACCAUAGCACUUAGCUCUCACACUUCCGGUUGACAUUCGGCUCUAAUGCCAAUUGUAACGACCUGAUCCGCUAGCAACAAUAAUUCGUUGGGCUAAAACCACUGGCCUGAAAUACUUAAGUUAAGUUAUUAUUACUAUCGUGUAGACCUCAUAUAUUCUAAUCAGAAUCAUUUUUCCAUCCGGUGGACUAUGGGGGAGUUUGUAAAAUCAUUUUUCCCACCGAUGAGAGACUAUUGGGGCGUUACACAUAUGAACUAAAUACGGAGUGCCUUCAACCAAAUUGUAAGGGUUCGAUCUAAAUCAAAUCCCAACGGGUUCUGACCCAAAGUAUAGCGAUUCAGCCCAAACCAAUCUAAAAAAGGCCAAACAAGCCUAAGGUGGCUCAACACAAAUCAAAUACAAGGGGAUCAAAUUAAUUCAACCUGAACUCAACUAGAAUGAUCCAAAUAAAGUAAACCAAAGAUUAAGUAAACCAGCUCCGCUCGAACUGAAAUAGAUCAACGGUUCAGACUGAGCUGAAUCAAAUUAAUCGAUCGAGUCAACUGAAUCAACUCACAAGCCAGAUUUAAAUGACUGCAAAGUCUUUAUACUAAGCAACCCAAAAUCAAAUGACCACAAAGUCUUUAAACUAAACAAUCCAAAUUCAAGUGCGCAAGACGUUAAACUAAGCAAGUCAAAAUCAAACUCUACUCAAAUCGACCACCAUAUCUUUAAACUAAGCAUCUCAACUUCAAGCUGACCACCGCAUCAUUAAACUGAGCAACACAACUUAAACUAACCGCCAAGUCGUUAAACUGAGCAAACGAAAUUCGAACUCAAAUUGACGGCUAAGUCGUUAGUCUGAGCAAAUUAAAUUUAAACUCAACUCAAUUUAACCGCUAAAUUGUUAAACUGAGAAAAUUAAAUUUAAAUUCAACUCAACUCUACUGCUAAGUCCAUAAACUGAGUAUUAAUGCUUUACAAAAUUCAUGUAAAGUGGGGGUAAUGCUUUACAAAAUUCAUGUACAGUGGGAGUAUGCCUCUGCUUAAGCCAUGUACAUAGCAAAUCAUAUUAAUAAAAUUUUAUCUUCAUGCUUUGGUCUCGUUUAUUAUCAGCAUUCAUGUUCGGUCUCUUAAUCGAAGGUUCCUUAAUACUGUCAAUGUGGAUAAUUAACAGCAGAUUCUUGAACCUGCUGGAAGCCAUUAACCAACAAUCCUGAUUUCAAGACAAAACUUAAAUAAAUUUAAUCUGUACCAUAAAUGACCACUCGUCGGAGAAAAGCUUGCGGCGGGGCCGCUUCGUUCGUGGCGGCAGACAUGCUGUAAAAGGAAGUCUUCUCCUCCAUUUUAAUCAAGCCAAAUGAAGGCCAAUUCAAUGGCCAUAUUAUUUGAAGGUUCUGAUGUUUAAGUCCUUUUUGUCUCUUAUUUUCAGUAGCCUUCUAUUACUUCUCUACCUAGUACAAGUCAAAAAGAAUUUAAAAGGAAAAUGCGGCACUACAGGUUAAAGUAGCCAACCAACUAAAUAACCUACUCAUCUCUUCACUCUUUCUCCUAGAUCUGAACCACAUAAAUUAAUAUUCACUACAUAAACUAAUAGGCAAGAACUAAAUGUGGUAUGAAUUACAAAAUUCUAUUCAAACAUUAAUCAUACUAAACUACUCAAUGUAUAGCACCAACUAGAACAAACUUCUAAUCUGUUGCUAUUGUUGAUGCAGGAUGAAAUUGGAAUCUUAAAAUGAACUUUUAAGUCAUUUAAGAUUCAAAACUUAAAUUGAUUGAGAGUUACGAUCUCCAAAUUAUGCUCAAGUACCUUCUUAAGCUGACUUCAAGAACCCGAAAGGAGAAAGGAAGAAAUGAAAAAAAUGAUAAGAAAAAAGUGGAAGUACUUGAGCAGAAAAACAAAAUUGAGCAUAUAUUUUAAGGAUUUUGAAGCAUCUAAUUUGGAAAUGGUCGAAAAGCCUCUGAAUUUGUUCACAGCUUUAGUUUCUUUCUACACGUUUUCUUCUAAAUUUCUCUCAGCAAAUCUUUAGCCUUCGUUUGUAUAGAUUAAAAAAGAAAAAACCAGCUUCAUUAUCUGGAUCCACAAAAUUGAUUCCCUACUUUCUGCAGGGGUCUGACAUUUAAGAAGCAACAUGAAAUAAUUGAGAGGUCAAGAAGUAUAGUUUUACGUUAAAAAAAGCCGUGUUAAAAGAUUUAAGAACAUUUAAAGUAUCAACAACAUAAAGAAUAACAAUGAGUAUGAUACAACAAUAACAAUAAUGAACGAUAAAAGUAAGUUUAUAAUUAGUAUUAUAAUUAAUAGAUAAAGGAUGAUAAAGGGAAAAAAAGAAAAGAAAGGAAGAGUAUACAUAUAGAUCAAAACUAACUCCUGAAAGUUAUAGGAUCCACGUCUAUAGGAUUAACAACUUACACCUUCAUUAUGAGAUCACGCCAGAAAGCAGAAUGCAUCUUUAUUUUGAAAUUCCUGAGAGUACAAAACUGUAUGUAAUUAAAUAGUUUUCCAAAAUAACUGAAAUACCUCUCAGCAUCCUUGUAUUGAUUAACUCUAAGGUUGGAAUAAUGAUCUUGUAGAUGAAAUCAGGAAGAAGAUUCACGGCACAAAGCAAGGGGAGAUGACUAUUGGAUAGUAUUUCGCAGCAUGGAUUUAAGUGCCGUGGCAAGGGGUCAUGCUGGAAACUUGCCAGCACGGUACGGCACGGUGCGUGCAGGUAACAAAAAAUACAUGUGUGCUGACACAUAAUGACAUGAAAUAUUUAUUUUCUUUAGCACACUACAACAAAAACGGUCUAUAGUGACACUUUUAAAUAUCGGUACAUGUCAAAAAAAGUGCUGGCUAAAUUACCGACACUUUUAAAAAGUAUUGCUAUUUGUGAGUUUGCUAGGUAUACAGUGACAAUUAAAGAGUGUCACUAUAACCUAAAAAGAGUGCUACUAAUUUACCAAUACUUAUUUAAGCAUUUAGCAACCGUCGAAACUCUACCUCGUUGGCUGCGGUGGCGGAGGAGAACGAGAGGGAAGGGCUCUUCGUCUAGAAUUUCAGUGAAUUGAGUGAGGGGAGAAGGGAAGAUGGUAAUCGAUUUUUUUUUUUUCUUUUCUCUUUGUAAUCGGGCCGAAUGGACUAGGUGGGGUGGGUUAAGUAGAGUAACCUUUUACUUUUUGUUGGAUUGGGCUUUAUAUUUAGGAAUUAAUAGAUAUUUUUUUAAGUUUUGGCAUAAAUGGAACACUUACACAAAAGUGUCCCAAACAUGUGUCUCUAUAACCUAAUUCUGUUGUAGUGGCAACAAAGUUUUCUAGCGGUUUAUUAUGUAUCAUUAUCAAAUUUUUUGAACUUUAUUUGAGAUAAUUACUUAGUAAUUUGAAGAAUACAGGGUUUUGAGAUGUGCCAUCGGCACAGGGGGUUGUAUUGUGCCGAUAUUUUGUUGGCACGAUACCACACGAUAGAUACGGCCUGUGCCGAUGGGCACUUAAAUCCUUGCUUCGCAGUGUCUGCUAGUCUGUAGUAGGAGAUGGACUACUAUCAAGAUAUCCACAGUGGCUGCACAGGAGAUGCAAUCAAGUUUCAGAGGGUUUAAGAUUUCUCGGCUGGCCUACAACCUGAAUUUGAUCAAAUCAAGUUCAUGUCUAGGAAAGGAUCCUUUCCUGUCAGUACGGAAGACAUGCAUUUGUAGAGCAAGAGGAGAGCAGAUACCUGAUAAGUUAGCCUUGUUCAUCAAUUUCUUCCUCGAAGAAUGUAAAGGGAAAUCGGAUUAGAGGAAUUGAUAAAAGAAUGGCCAAAAAGAUCAGCAUAAAUGUGAUCACUGUGGGAGAACUGAACACACUUCGUCGACUGAUGUCUAAGCUUGCUUCAAUUCUACUUUCUCCACUAUCCAAUACUGCCACUGCUAAUUGUGCUUUGUUAGAUAUAGCUAUUAGUGCUUCUAGUUGCACGCGUAACAUAUUUCUCACCUCAAUUAUUGAUAGUUUAUUGGAUCAUUUCUUAUCCUACUUUCCUUCUUUAGGUUAGGAAAAAAAAAUUCAUAUUGCUAAUGGUUCCUAUCUUCUAUUUUUGGGAAAGGUUCCAUAGCAUACUUCUGAUCUAACCUUGUCCUCUAUUCUUCACGCUCCUAAUUAUCCAAACAAUCUUUUAUAUAUAAAUGUAAUAACUAGGGAUCUUAACUAUAACAUGAUCUUUUUUUCUUUUCAUUGGGUUUUUUAGAAACUGGAUAUGGGGAAAAUAAUUGUCUGUGGAAAGAUGCAUGAUAGGCUUUAUCUCCUAGAAGAAGGAACAGAUUGAUUAUAUAGAGUUAUAGACAUCAUUCUGCUCUCCCGAUUGAUGCGACAUCAGCCUGUCAAGAGAUACACCAAUAGCAUCGACGACUUGGUCAUCCUUCCUUUAGAAUAUUGAAACAAAUGAUUCCUCAGUUGUUUCAGCACUGUAAUCUUGAACGUUUGAAGUGUGAUGCUUGUAAGUACAAGCUAUUAAUUUCAAAACCUUACUUAAGAUAUUGUUAGGUACCUCUAAUUACAUUAUGCCUCUGAAAUUGUUUGAAUUUGCUUGUUUUGUACAUGUCACCGAAGGACAAAUGACAAACUUGAUCCUCGGGCCAUGAAGUGUCUUUUCAUUGGGUAUUCUGCUUCUCCAACGAGUUACAAAUGUUAUCACCGCAUACAAGGAUGACAUUCAUCACUAUGGAUGUUAUCAUGUUACCUUCAAGGAGCAUGUGGCCUGUUAUCACCGAUCAUCUCUUUAGGGGAAGAGUCAAUUUAAGAAAGAAGAGACGAAUGUUGAUACGACCGUUUAUGUUCCCAGAUGGACGUCAACACUUGAACUACGACAAAAUGAGGGAGAGAGGGAAAUGAUAUUAAGGGAGAGGAAUAGAGAAAUGAAAUCGAGUUGGGCGGGGAGAGAAAUGGAGUUGAGGCAGAGGGAGAGAAAGAUGAAGUUAAAGGAAAAAGGCAAAACAAUAUUCUGAGGAGACAGAAAAAAAGUGAUUGUGAAUAGCAAGCAUACACUUGAAAACGAAGAAAGUAUAAAUCUAUCAUGCACUCCUCACCUAGCUAAGAGCUCUCUCCGGAUCCAAUUCUUUUUAUCUCACCUCUCUCCAAGCCAAGAGCUAUCUACAUACCUAGUUCUUUCUUCUCAAUCUCCUCAAAGUCAUUGUCCGUCUCUUGCUCAUAUGAAGUCUUCCAAUUUUAAUCCUGUGAGUUCGAAAUCACUCUAAACAUCCAAUUUCUGAUCGACUUUGUUUUAUAUGCGCCAUUAUCUCCUUUGUAUAGAGCUUUUAUGUCAUCCUUGUCUUCUAUCUACAUUCUACAGAAUUGGAUGGAGGAACUUGUAGAUUCCAAGUGAAACGAAGCUAUGUUGAGGAGAUGAAAGCUUAGCGAAAUGAGACAUGGGAACUUGUUGAACUAUCUACUGGAAAAAGACUCGUCGGAUGCAACUGGGUUUUUAUUGUGAACUAAGCAUAAGGUAAACAUACAAGUCGAGAGAUAUAAAGUCAGACUUGUCACAAAAAAGUUUUACUCAAAUCCAUGGAGUUAAAUAUCAGGAGACUUUUGUUCCCUUUGCAAAACUAAACUCCAUUUGCAUUCUCCUAUCACGUGCUGCAAAUCUUGAAUGGGAGUAACAACAAUUAAAUCUGAAAAUUGCAUUUCUACAUGGUGACAUAAUGGAAGAAGUGUAUAUGGAGGUUGGUUUCUCAUCACAAAAACCAAUAGGGAAAAUGUGUGAAUUAAAAAAAGGUGCUAUAUGGCUUAAAGCAAUCAACAAGAGCUUGGUUUGACAGAUUUAGCUAAGCAAUGCCAGCAUUUGGGUAGAAGCAAAACAAUCCUGAUCAUAUACUAUUUACUAAAAAGAUGCAAUCAUAAAGUUGUCAUUCUCAUUGUUUAUGUUGAUGAAAUAGUGGUAAUUGGAAAUAAUGCAAUUGGAGAUGAACAAACUCAAGAAUUAUCUUGUACAAAAUUUUGAGAUAAAGGAUCUAAGAAAGUUGCAAUAUUUUCUAGGAAUUGAAGCGGCGAGAUCAUAAACAGGCAUAUUUAUAUCACAAAGAAAAUACAUUUUGGACUUGCUCCAACAAACUGGUAUGCUUGGAUGUGGACCAGCAGAUUCACCUACUGAGGCAGACUCACCUACUGAGGCAAAUCAUCGAUUGAAGGGUGAAUUAAGUUGGCGAAUCUAUUGAUUAGAAAAGGUAUCAACAAGUGGUGGGUAGAUUGGUUUAUAGGUCUCACACUCGAACUGAUAUAACAUGUGUGGUGAGUGUAGUUAGUUAGUAUAUUCUGCCUCACUUGAAGACAAUUUGUCGUAUUUUGAGGUACUCAAAAUCAUCUCCCGGAAAGUGGACUUCUCUUUGCAAAUGAUAGUCAUUUGAAAAUUGAAGCUUUUACAGAUGCAGAUUUGGAUGGCUAUCCAAAUGACGGAAGAUCUAUUUGAAGAUACUACACAUUUGUAAGAGGUAAUAGUUUAGUCACCUGGAGAAGUAAAAAGUAGAGAGUUGUUGUCAGAUCAAAUGCACAAGCAGUGCAUAGAGCUAUAGCAUAUGGCUUAUGUGAAUUGUCGUGGCUUAGAAAAAUUAUGCGUUAGGAUUGACAAAUAUCAAGCCACUAAUGUUUGCAAUGUGACAACAAAGGUGCCAUCAACAUAGCCCACAAUCCUGCACAACAUGAUAAGACAAAACAAAUUGAAGUUGAGUUGAAUUUUAUCAAGGAGCUGGAGAAGGGUAUCAUCUGCAUUCUGUUUGUGAAGUCACAGGACCGAACAGCAAACAUUCUCACUAAAGGACCUAGGAGUGUUUUAUUUAACGUUUUGUAUACACGAUGGGCAUAAGAAAUAUAUAUGCUCCAUUUUGAGGGCAGUGUUAGUUUAGUAUAAUUCCAAUCUUCUCAAAGACUUUUACGUAAAAAUGCAUUAUAAAUUAAUUAGUUUAGAAUUGCAGGUGUAAAAUCCCCUAAAACUCUUUUCCUCAUUCUUUUCUCUAUUAACUAUCAAGUUACAACAUGGUUAAGAAACUUUAGAGCUGUUACGACAAAAGCGGAAAAUAUUUAGUUUGUUGGGCACAAAAAUACCAAAAGAAAACCGAGAAGUAGAGAAGAAAAAUAAAUCACAUAAUUAUUUACAUGGUUCGGCCACGCAAGCGAAGACGAAGUACAAACUUUAAUUAUAACCGAAAGAGAACUGUACCCUCAAAAGAGAACCCAUACUUUUUCUUAUCUGCCGUACCAAAUCAAUAAAAUAAAAGGUAUAUGUAUUUUGACUAAAAUCUAAUGAGAAUAGGAAUAAUCUCAAAAAGAUAAUUAUAAUCUUAAGUUAACUUAAUGGGUUGACUAAAAUAAAAUAAUGAUAGAAAAUCUUCCGAUUCUAUAAUUCAAGACACAUCUAACAAAUGUUUUUUUUUUAAAAAAAUCUUCAAACACACUCCUGUGGUUUAGCGCUUUCUCACUUUAGUACCCUGUGAUUUGAAAUGCAUCACUUUAGUAUCCUGUGGUUGCAUUUUUCUCUCUCUGUUGCCCCCUCUAUUUAGCAUUUUUAUUAAACCAGUGAUAAAAUUAAAACCACAAGGUACUAAAGUGAAAAGCUAGUAAACCACAGGGGAGUAUAUGAAGUUUUCUCUUUAUGCUUUAACAACAAAGUUAACAAAAGGGCUGACAAAAAGAGAAAAAUAGAACCUUAGGAUAAUAAAGUGAUACACUUUUAAACCACAGGGUGUUAGAGUGAGAAAGAGCGCAACCACAGAGGGGGUACUUGAAGUUCUCACUAUUUUCUUGGCUGUACAUUUGGGGUGAAAGGCCAUCGGUUAUGGUACCCUGAUCCCAAAGCAUCUAAAUUUCUUAUUAGUAGGGAAGUUACUUUUGAUGAGUCUACUAUGUUUCACCUGAAAAAAGAGUCUUUUGUUGGCACACUUUUGAGAAAGUGAAGACCGUUAAGAAACAGGUUGAGUUUCAGAUUAAUGACUCAAUAUACCUGCAAGAAGUUCUGUGAUGCUCCAACUUCCCAAGGGGUCACCUAAAAUGCUUAAGCCGGGUUAAGAGUUUUAGCCCUAUUAUAUCGUAUAUAUAGGACUAUCUGGGGUUUCACAUACUCCCCCCAUUUAAGUCCUGACGUCCUCAUCAAACUCAGACUCACAAGUACCUGACAAUGUGAGACUCGUCUCGUUAGCCUAAACCGACCUUGUGGUGAGCUACGCUCCACCCACAAUACCCAACAGCAUGGGAGCUCUAUUAGAAAUUGUAUUAAAUAAAUAAUAUCCGUCCAAUUUAUUUAAUUUUUAAAUUAAAUAAAAAAUUAAGUAUAUUGUCUCAUCUUUUUAGAAAUGGAUGAAAAUCCUUUUCUGCUUUUGAAAACUUCUAUUUAUUCUAUUUUUUAAAUAGAAAAUAAUAUUAUCUCCUUGCAUCUUUUUUUAAAAAGAUUAAAAAUGCUCUCUUCACCUACGGUAGAACAAACAAAAUUUAACUAUUUUUUAUACAAUUAUAAUAAANUAAUAUUAUCUCCUUGCAUCUUUUUUUAAAAAGAUUAAAAAUGCUCUCUUCACCUACGGUAGAACAAACAAAAUUUAACUAUUUUUUAUACAAUUCUACUAAAGAUUUAGAAAUUAUUGAAUAUAUAAAUAUCACACUCAAUCUGAAUUAUUUUAAAAAAUAUAAUAUUCUUUUUCAAAUAUAUGUAUACGUGCAUUGCACGUACACUUUGCUAGUGCAUACAAAUACAGAUACAUAUAUGUAUAUGUAUCCAAAUAUAUGUACCAUUUGUGUAUAUAUUGUUGAAAAAUUAUCUUUCUAAAUCUUUAGUAGAAUAUUCUUUUAAAUAAUUUUUGAAUAGAAAGAAUAUAACUUUAGUUUUGAAAACCGCAAGUAAAAAUUAAACAGUUACUACUAUAGAUAUUAAGAGGUCAGAUGAGGCCUGUGAGUCGAGGCGUGUGAAAGCAUUGUCUUAGAAGCGAGAUUGUCCCUCCACGUGCGAGGCUUUGACAAUCACUCCUAGCGAUACAAUGACCACUGCCCACCCCGUCGGCAUAUCUUCAGGAUGGCGCAACACGAACCCAAUAAACUUUCAGAGAUCCAGCAAAAAUGGCAAUGUGAAGUUGAGUGCAUAAUAGAUGUAAAAAUCAGCGUGAAAGAAGGUGAGGAAGAAGAGUAUUUUGCAAGCUCGGGUUAUGUCUUAUGCACCAACACAAGUGCACCUUCACUUACAUAUUGGAGAGAUUUAGAAUAGUUCAAUGGGAAAAUCCUGGUCAAGAUCUAGCUCCUUCCCGAGGUUGGACUAAGAUAUGAUUCCUUUCCGAAGUUGGACCAAAUCUGGACAAUAUCCAGAUUAGAUCUAGUCAAGAUCUCGUAUGGCUCCUUCCCAAGGUAAGGCCAUCAUUGGAUAAAAAUAAAAUAAAAAGAAAAAAGUGUAAAUGAACCGAGUUCACGCACGCCGCCACCCGGCCCGGCUCGUGCUCGUGCUCGUGCGUUUAGUCGAGAGCUCCACUCUCAUGUUCUCCCAAGCAACUAAAGUUGAGAGUGAGAGUGUAUAUAAAGUGUAGUAAAAUGCCUUUGGUUUCCAAUGUGGAACUAAACUUCACAUGUGGAAAUUAAGGCACGGGCUCCCAAGUAAGACUACAGAGAGUUGAGCUGCCCAGGAAGCCCAUGGACCAAAUUCAAGUUUUAAAUCACUGUUUUAAAAAAUUAAAACUAACAUAUAUAUAUAUAUAUAUAUAUAUAUAAUAUAUAGAACUAGGCUGGAAUACUAUCAAUAGCACUAAGCUAUUGGUGCUAUUAGGUUUUUAGUCCUUGGAUUGAGAAAUGUGUGGUUACGCUAAUAUGGGCCCUCUAGGGUUGAGUGGGUGCUUGGUUGAAUAGUAUAAUCUAACGGGUAAAAAUAAUCAAAGGGGUUAAAUCUACCGAUGGAAAACUCGAUAGUACCAAGCUCUUGGUGCUACCGAUAGUAUUCCAGCCGGACUUCAUAUAUAUAUAUAGAUAUAGAUCUAGGCUGGAAUACUAUUAAUAGCACCAAUGACUUGGUGCUAUUAAGUUUUCUGCCCUUGGAUUAAAAGAUGUGUGAUUAGGAUGAUGUGGGCUCCCUAGGGUUGAGUGGGUGGUUAGUUGAAUGGUAUAAUCGAAUGGAUGAAAAUGAUAAAAGAUGUAAAUCUAACGACAGAAAACUUGAUAGCACCAAAUGCUUUAUGCUAUCGAUAGUAUCCCAGCCGGACUCUAUAUAUAUGAGCUAGGCUGGUAUACUAUCGGUAGCACGGAAGCCUCCGUGCUACCAAGUUAUUUUCAAUGAUACGGCUUUCAAAUCAACGAUCAACUCCAUUAGACUUGAUCUACACAAUUAAAAGUAUUUGGAAACUAAAUUUCAUAAUUUUUCGAUAUCAUUUAGCUAGUGAUUAAAAGGUCUCAAAAUUGACAAUUUUAAUAGUAGAUGUGAUGCGUUUGUGAAUUUAACGGUGUAAAACAAUCCAAAUCUGAUGAAAUUUUUAUAGAAAAUUCCUUUAACUAUUUAGAGUAAGAUCAGUACCUCUGAUCUUAAAUUCAAGUCUUUUAUCAUCAUUUUUUAUGAGAUUUUUAUUUUUAGCUGUUCAUUUUUAGGCUAUUCAUUUGAUAGGUAAAUGAUGCCGAAAAAUUAUGAAAUUUAGUUUCCAAAUACUUUCAAUAGUGUAGAUCAAGUCUAACGGAGCCGAUAGUCGAUUUGGAAGCCGCAUCAUUGAAAACAACUUGGAAGCACGGAGGCCUCCGUACUACCAAGUUGUUUUCAAUGAUGCGGCUUCCAAAUCGACGAUCGGCUCCGUUAGACUUGAUCUACACUAUUAAAAGUAUUUGGAAACUAAAUUUCAUAAUUUUUCGAUAUCAUUUACCUAUCAAACGAGUAGUCUAAAAAUAAAUGGCUGAAAAUAAAAAUCUCCUAAAAAAUGAUGAUAAAAGACUUAUAGAAAAUUCUUUUCACUAUUUAGAGUAAGAUCAGUACCUCUGAUCUUAAAUUCAAGUCUUUUAUCAUCAUUUUUUAUGAGAUUUUUAUUUUUAGCUGUUCAUUUUUAGGCUAUUCAUUUGAUAGGUAAAUGAUGCCGAAAAAUUAAGAAAUUUAGUUUCCAAAUACUUUCAAUAGUGUAGAUCAAGUCUAACGGAGCCGAUAGUCGAUUUGGAAGCCGCAUCAUUGAAAACAACUUGAUAGCACGGAGGCCUCCGGGCUAGCGAUAGUAUGAUGUACAUGUGUAUGUAUUUAUAUAUAGAGCUAGGCUGGUAUACUAUCGGUAUAUAUAUAUAUAUAUAUAUAUAGAAUUGAGCUAGAAUACUUUUAGAAGCACCAACCCCUUGGUGCUUCUAGGGUUUAAGCCCUUGGAUCUACUCCUUGAUUACUAGUAACCCUUGGAUUAAACACUAUUCCACCUACCACCACCUACCACCACCUAACACCAUCAUCCCAACCUUACAACUCUGAUCAUCCAAUGGCCAAAAACUCAAAAGCACCACCCUCUUGGUGCUUUUGAGAGUAUUCUAGCUCAACAAUAUAUAUGUAUGUGUAUGUGUAUGUGUAUGUGUAUGUAUAUGUAUAGAGCUAGACUGGUAUACUAUCGGUAGCACGGAGGCCUCCAUGCUACCAAGUUGCUUUUAAUGAUGCGGCUUCCAAGUCGACGAUCGGCUCCAUUAGACUUGACCUACAGUAUUGAAAGUAUUUGAAAACUAUAUUUCAUAAAUUUUUGGUAUCAUUUACCUAUCAAACGAGUAGUCUAAAAAUAAAUGGCUGAAAAUAAAAAUCUCCUAAAAAAUGAUGAUAAAAGACUUGAAUUUAACAUCAGAGAUACUGAUCUUACUCUAAAUAGUGAAAAGAAUUUUCUAUAAAAAUUUCAUCAGAUUUGGAUUAUUUUACACUGUUAAAUUCACAAACGCAUCACAUCUAGCAUUAAAAUUGUCAAUUUUGAGACCUUUUGAUCACUAGCCAAAUGAUGUCGAAAAAUUAUGAAAUUUAGUUUCCAAAUACUUUUAAUAGUGUAAAUCAAGUCUAACGGAGUCGUUCGUCGAUUUAGAAGCCGUAUCAUUGAAAAACAACUUGGUAGCACGGAGGCCUCCGUGCUACCGAUAGUAUACCAGCCUAACUCUAUAUGUAUAUGUAUAUAUAUGUAUAUGUAGAACUAGGCUGGAAUACUAUUAAUAGCACCAAUGACUUGGUGCUAGUAAGUUUCUUUCCUUACAUUAAAAGAUGUGUGGCUAGGAUAAUGUAGGCCCUCUAGAGUUGAGUGGGUGGUUAGUUGAAUAGUAUAAUCGAACGGAUGAAAAUGAUAAAAGAGGUAAAUCUAAUGGCAAAAAACUUGAUAGCACCAAAUGUUUCGUGCUAUCGUUAGUAAUCCGAGGUUAUGUAUAGAGUAAGGCUAUGGAGUUGUGAAAAGCACAAGACUUGGUCUUGUUAAACGUUUUUUACCGUUAAGAUCUACGCCUUUUUGAUCAUUUAAAACUCCGUUGUAGUAUACUUAUCAAAACCACCCCCACUCAACCACUCAGGGGCGCACAUCAUCCUUAAACCGCUACGAUCACUUAAUCAAUGCCAAAAAUCUACAAGCCAAUCCAAACUAACUUGGUAUUUAAAAGCAUAGGAGUCUUAAUUAUACAUAUAUAUAAUAACAUAUAUAUAUAUAUAUAUAUUAUAUGGUCCGGCUACUAUAUUCUAUUGUGAAAGUACGAUCGAGCCUUCGGUACCAUAAGUUGUUUUCGAUAUAAGCUUUCCGAUAUCGACGAUCCACACCGUUAAAGUUAUUUACGGCAUUUAUAACUUUCUAAAAAUCAAAUUUAUAAUUUUUUGACGAUCAUUUAUCUUAUGAUCAAGAGGUCACCAAAUUGACAAUAUUUUAACGGCCCGGUAAUGGGAAUACUUGCUAGUUUAACGGUUAUGUAAAAAGAUCGGAAUUUGUUGAAUUUUUGAUAGAAAAUUCUAUUCAUACAUAGUAUAAGAUGCAAUAACUCCGAUCUUGAAUUGAGAGGAUCGAUUAUUCUUUUUAUAGGACGUCGUUUCGAUUGUGACCGUUCAUUAUUUGUGCCCACUGAUGGACUUUAUUAUGAUUUCAGAAAUUUACGAUAAUUUAUUUUCUAGGAAGCAUGGACUCCUAUUACUAUAUAUAUAUAUACACACACGUAUAUAUAUAUAUAUAUAUAAUUAAGCUCCUAUGCUUUUAAAAGUACCAAGUUAUUGGUGCUUGUAGAUUUUUAGCCAUUGGAUUAAGAAAUAUACGGUUAGGAUGUUGUGAGCCCCCUAGGGUUGAGUGACUUGUUGGUUGAAUAGUAUAAUCUAAUGGUUGAAAAUGAUCCGAGAAAUAGAUCUAACGGUAAAAAACUUACAAGCACCAAGUGUAAAUAGUUACGUUUAACUUUAAGGUUGUAACAACUCAAAAGAUUAUCAUUAAGCACUGAAAAAUUACCUUAACCGAAGAUAAUUACUGUCCCAUAUAUAUAUAUGCUAACUCCACUUUUGUAUCUCCUCAACCCAACUGACCAUUAAUUACUGAUCAAUCUCCACUCUCUUCCAUGCUUCACAAUUAAUAUCCAUUUACAUAAAUACUCUGAUUGCAAAAUUUAAUUGAAUAAUGUUAUCCCUCUUUCUCUGUUCAAAAGGAAAAAAUGUGGAAAUGACCAAAAACAUUUUAAUUUAGUUAAGAUGAUCAACCAUGCAUACAUCAAUAUCACAGGACUUUAAUUAGAUGCAAUAUUAUUUAAAAAGGAUAGCAGGUAGUCUGCAUAUCCAUGAAUUUCAUAUACCCAAUGAUACAUGAGGAUACUAACCGUUCCUAGCGCAAGUGGCAAAAGACUUGAUAGUUGGUAUCCGAGGCCCCAAGUUUGAAUCCUAAUUGAUUUAUACUUUCAACUAAAUUUUCUAAUUGAUUUAUAUUUUCAGCUAAAUUUAUUUUUAAAAGAAAUAAACAAAGAAGGUAACAUGCUACCUUUUUCUCAAAAGAAAAAAAAAUGAUCCAUGAUCAGGAUUAAUUAACUUACAGAAACAAAAUGCAUAUAAAUUACAUUAGAUGCAAGAACAUACCAAGAACUGUAUUAGUUCUAAAAAUUUGCAAACAAGGAUAUUCGUCUAGCAUAUCUUCAAAGUAUAGUUAUGAAGCACUUACCUUUACCAACUGUAGACCCAGAUACUAAUACUUUGUUUGGAACUACAAUAAAAAGAAAAUUUUGGACUUCUAGUAUCUUCUUUUAGCUGUUUCCUCCUACAGCUGGCCAGUAGUAAGAGUUAGCCUACAUACGAAACUUCCUAAGAAUUGCUAACCAAUGAGGAGGAACUUCAUAUAAGCCACAGUCCAUAAGAAUUGCUAAGAUUUUUCUCGAAAGUAAAUGGCUCUCUCUCUCUCUCUCUUUCCUCUUACUUUUCCACCCUACUGUUCAGGAAACUCAAUUUCUAAAUAUAUGGGAGCACCAGCUCCGAUUAAUCCCCCAACUUUGUGAACCACCUUCCUCAACAUUCUCCUUUGCGUCCACAUCAUACGUACAUAUAUAGAGAGUGAGUCUAACUAAAUUUCACUUCAAGAGUCGAUCUCCUGAGGCUCAGAAAAAUCAGGUGGCAGAAGCACACAUAUAUAAGCGUACGUGUGUGUAUAUAUAUAUAUAUAUAGUAUAGUUAUAUAUAACAUGCACCAACAUGACAUCAACAUGAACAGAUGUGUAGUAUUGCCAAAUGCUACCUAGCUAGCUAGCUCCACGGCCAACGAUUAACACGAUAUAUAUCAACCACAAUAAACAAUCACUCUACGCACCUUAGACCUUGUCAGGAUCCCGAAUCGUAGAGAGCAGACGACAACACCCCGGCGAAAUUAUCCAGCAUUUGCGGCUAGAAUGCGUCGUCGAGCGCAUCGAACGGGCUGGCGCCAGCACGCGGGCCUCCGCGUAGAUCUACGACGUCGGGAUUGCCGCCGGCGUACGAAGAUCCGGGCGCGGCGUGGCUGCGGAAGGUAGUAGUAGUGUCGGGCUUCGAGGGGACAUCGUGGCCGCCGUCGGCGUCGGCCUCAGGGAACAGCGAUUGGUCGGGGAAGGUGGAGUCUUGGCCCGUGAGCUCCUGGACUAGUGCCCGGAACUCGGCCGGGUUGGCCGCCUUGACCUUCAUGGGGUUGGAGAUGUACACCACCUUGACGGGCUUCUUCAUCUUGCCCUUGUCAGAAUGCUGCUUGGGGUUCUUCCUGCCGUCGCCGGUGCGGAGCUUUUCCAUUUCUGAUUCUGAUGAUCAGCUUCAGUGGAGGGGGGAGUGGGAGGGGCUUGGCUUGUAAGGAGAGGAGGUGAAGGACGACUCAUUACUGUGGUUUUGGCUUCAGCAUACACACAAGGAGAAGAGCACACAUGAAAGGGGUACAUUUAAUUGAAUCUCGAAUAGUGAGAGGACGGGUUUCGUCGUGGCGGAGAUGGUGAUUCCGUAACAUGGAAUUGGGAAAGAAGUGGGAAAGAGUGGGGCAACAGAAAUUUACUGCAUGCACCCUGUGCAUGCACUCGGUGCACUGUGCGUCCUACUCUUGAGAAUUCUAUUAUGUGACAUAUCAUAAAGUAUCGCACGGUUAACCGUGUGUCGCCCGAUGAUAAGUCUUCUUUACUAAUACUUCAAGGAUUCUUAGGCGAUCCAAUGGUUAAAACAUUACAAACACAGAUGCGCAUGUACUUUUAAAUGCGCCUGGUCCGACUUAUAUGUUUUUAGAAACACGAUGGCUUCUAUACUAUCAAAUCAUUUUCAAUGCUGAGACUUCCAUAUCGACAAUCAGCUCCGUUAGACUUAACCAAGAAUAUAUUAGAUUUUAUUGAAUUUUUAUGAUUUAAAACUUGUUAAGACCUCUUGAGAGCCCAAUAAUUGUUAAUGGGCCGCUUUGGGAGCCCAACUAAAAUUUUCAUAUUUGAUGUUUAGUCCCACAUUAGAAAUCAAAAGGGUGUUUGUUUCUUUUAUAUAUUCUUUUAUUCUCAAACUAAUUGUUUGGAGAAAAAUGAGAGUAAUGUUCUCGUUUAAAUACACACACGCACGCAUGGCACGAGUCCGAGCCGAGCCGGGCCGAGCGGGUGGCGCGCGCGGUCCAUACACUCGAUUUAUUUUAUUUUUAUUUUGUUGGUUUUAUCUUUAUUUUAUAUCUUAUCUUUAUCUUUAUCCUAAUCCUAAUCCUUAUCCGUAUAAUUUUAGGCUUAUCUUGUUCUACACGGAUUUAACGCGUUGAAGCAAGAUUCUCACAUAGAUUAUAAAUAUGGGGUAAGGUUGCAUGAGUUAAUUAAUAAUAAUAAUAACCCGAGCAUAUCUAAAACCUCUCGUCUUUUUCUACUUUCUGAAUUUUCGCCGAAUUUUCUUUUGCUGGAUCUAAAGCUGGUUGGGUUCAUCUUGCACCACCUUAGAAGCAUGCUGACAGGGUGGAACGUGAUCGUUAUAUUGCUAGGAGUAAUUGCCAGAAAGUCUCGCACAUGGAGGGACAAUUUCGCUUCUAGGACAAUACUCUACACGUCUCGAUCCACUGGCCUUAUCUAAACCUUUUCUUUAUAGUAUUUGUUAUUUAAUUUCUUUCGCGGAAUAUUUCGAAACUUAUAAUUUAAAUUUUCGAAUUGGUUUUUAAAAGAAUAUUGUAAUAAAAAUUCAGAAAAAUUUUUCAAACAGAGUAUUGGAAAUAGCAAGAAAACAAAUUUCGUUCUUUUUUAUAUCAUUUAUUUAGUAAUCAAAAUAGCUCAAAAUCAACGGCUGAAAAUAAAAAUAUCACAAAAAGUAAUGAUAUGACACUAAAAUUUUAAAUCAAAAAUAUUGGUCGUAUUUUAUAUAGUGUAAAUAAUUGGGUAAACUUCAGACACCAUCCAUGUGAUUUCGUACGUUCUCAUUUUAGUACCCUAUAGUCUAAAGUGUAUCAAUUUAAUACCCUAUGGUUUUAUUUUAUUCUUUUCGUCAGCUCUUCCGUUAAUAUUUCGUUAAAUUAGAUACAAAAAACUUCAGAUACAUCACCUAGGUUUAUCGAAUAUUCACUUUAGUACCCUUUAAUUUUAAUUUUGUCACUGAUUUAACGAAAAAAAUUAGUGAAAUGAAUAAUUAAAAAUAAAAAUGAAAACAUAAGACACUAAAUAUGGAUAUUUAGUGAAGUUUUCCUAAGUAAUUUUCUAUCAAAAUUUUAUUUAAUUUGGAUAUUUCUACACCAUCAAAUGUGCAAACAGCUCAAUACAACCAUUAAAAUUGUUAAUUGUUAAUUGAUAUUGAAAAAUUACUGGACUUAUUUUUUACAUACUUUAAAUACUCUAAAUUGAAUCUAACGGAGCCGUCCCAGCAUCGAAAAUGACUUGAUAGCAUGAAAGUCACCGUACUUUUAAAAGGAUGCAAAUUUAACUUGCUCUCUCUUUCUCUCUCUGUAUAUAUACACACACUAAUUAUAGUGCACGUGCAAUGCACGUCACAUUUACUAAUUAAUUUAAAUUUAAAUAUAAUUUAAUAUAAAAUAAAAGUUAAAUCUGUUUCGAUUUAAAUUUAAAUAGUAAUUGGUGGCAUUAGUCUAUUUUUCAAUUAAUUAAUUUUUUAAAUUUGAUCUGUUUCGAUUUAUUUUUAGUUUGUUAAUUAUAAUUAUUUUUUUUAUAAUAUGUAUGAAAUAUUUUUUUUAUUUUAUUUAGGAUUUCGUUACUUCAUUUCUAUCCGUUUUUAUAUAUAGUAUAGAUAUAUAUUAGAAAAAAAAAAUCUUCUAUCCUAGAUACAAUGUUAGUACAGUGUGUAACGUGCAUUAAAAUAAUACGCCUAUAAAAGAUGCAUUCGAUGAUUUAUAUAUUAAAAGCGCGCAACUCAAAAUCAAAUUUAAUUUAGAAAAAAUUGUUUAUAUACCCCUGAAAAAUUUUCGACUUUUCGAUUUACCCUUCUUAGAAGACUAAUAUUAAAAAUAUCCUCUUUACGUUCCAACCUAUUUCUAAUAUAUUCCUAGAGUUAAAAUUUAUUAAUUAACUCUGUUAUCUCUAUAAAAUUAUUAUUUUGCCCUUUCAAAUAUACCCUUCCACCAUCACCGACUUUCUUAUUUGCCCUUAAAGUCAGGGGCACAAAAAAUAUUUUGACUUUUGGUCUUUUCCAAUAUACCCCUCUAUCAUCAUCAACAUUUCUUAUUUGAUUUUAAGUUAAUGGCAAAAUUGGUAUUUUAAUUUUUUUUAACUGUGAUAAAUAUUUAACUCACGUUUAACCCAAAUUAACUUAACAGGAGAUAACUGCGGGGGUAUUUUGCAAUAACGGUGGAACAUAUGAAGGGUAUUUUAAAAGGAAAAAAAAAUAGGAAUAAAUCAGAUAUUUUCAAAUAUAUGAGGGAUACAUAGACAAUUAUCCCUUUAAUUUAUUAUAUAAAUUUGUAAUUAUUUAAAAGACUUACACAUUAAAAAAAAAUCCUCGAUGUUACUAAGUAUGAAUUCGUGAAUUUGUAGGACUGUUUAAUUCAAAGUGUCUUGGUACUAAAGGUCAUUUAACUUAAGCUAUUAGGCCAAAAGAAGUUAGAGAUCAAAGCAUGCAGAGAGUGCCUUCUAAUUUAUUUUUUGUGAAACGGCAUAAAUUAUAUUCUGACCUAAUUUGCGCAAAUCUAAAAAAUAUAAAUUCUUUUAUAAAAAUAAAUUAUUAUUAUAUUUUACGCAUAUUCUUUGCGGUCCCAAACUGGGCCUAGGGUAAAAUAAUUUCAGUCAAAUGUUUGGAAAUUUUCAUAUAGAGGUUUUUUUAAUUAGACGUUAUUUGUUUACUUAAAUAUUUGGGGCAAUAUUCAAACUGUACGCACGGAUACGCCCGGUGCAAGAAAUACAGUGAGAGGAUAAUGCUGUAAGGAUACGAAAAGACAGGGAGUAGAUACGGCAAGCCAAGUGCUCGGAUCGCUUGUUGGGGGUGAACAUCGAACUUCAAUAAUUAUGCCACGUGGCUCGCUAAGAGCGGUUGAGAUCCUACGGAGGUGACGUCAGUCGUACGCAUGCCAGUAACAUACCUGUAAUAAAUGGGAUUUGGCUGUUGAAAUCAACUGCGCUUGGUCAGAUGUGCCCUCACGUGUCUAAACUUUUUAGUACUCCUUACCUCUGCAUGAAACUAUAUAUUUCUAAUAAAACUGUCUAAAAUAUCCGAUAUACUAUACCCGACUCGGACCCAAUCCGGAUACUAUCCAGAUCCGAACCGGACCUGAUAAAAAAUGGAUAGUAUACGGGUAAAAAAAAAAACUGAUUAAAGUUUCGGAUAUGGGUCCGGAUAUUUUAUACCCAUAUCCGAUUUGGACCCGACCCGAAUCCAACUUUUAAAUGGAUAGGGUCCGGAAUAGUUUUUAAAUUCGGACCCUGACCCGGACCCGGACCCGGACCCGAUGAAAUAUUUGAUAGUAAAUAAAAAAAUUGUGAACUUUUAAAGUUGAGAGAUCAAUUUUAAUAGGACUUAUCGACGAGGGAAAACAUUGAAACCCUAGCCGCUUUUUUACUAUUUUCUUUUUUCAAUUUUUUUUACUAUUUGUUUUUAACUCUUUAUUUUUUUUUUGUUUCAUUUCCGCCUAAGAGUUUUUUAUGAAACAAUAUUUUCAUCGUCGUCAUCAUUAGCGAUAUUAAUCCUUUACAAGUGUNCUAAGAGUUUUUUAUGAAACAAUAUUUCUAUCGUAGUCAUCAAUCUAUUUUUUUUUAAUGAAUAUUCUGGCCAGUAAAUUUUCUGAUUCAUCUUUAUUUUUUUUUCCUUUUUUUUUGAAUGUUAGUAUAUAAUAUUAGUAAUUACUACAACUUAUAUUCUCUUUAUCUGUAAUAUGCUAUCAUAAUUUUUUAAUUUUUGUAUGUUUACAUAUAAAAUUAUUUUAACUUUAGACUUUUAAUCAGUAAAUAUAAUGGCCGAAACAGAUUUUGCCCAAACAAUUUAAUAAAGUCUAUACAAAAAUAUAUAUACAGAUACCCGUACCCGACCCGUAUCCGGUUUUGAACGGGUAGUAUACGGAUAGUCACUACCCAGACCCGCUCAAAUAGACACCCAGACCCGCUCAAAUAGACCCGAUAGGUAUAUUAGUAACUUAAGUAUCCAGGUCCGGAUCCGACCCGAAGUUAAAUAGGUUUUUUUUUUUUUUUUUUUUUUUUUUUUUUUUUUUUUUUUUUUUUUUUUUUUUUUUUUUUUUUUUUUUUUUUUUUUUUUUUUUUUUUUUUUUUUUUUUUUUUUUUUUUUUUUCUAACCAUUUCUUUUUAGGGUACAGAUACAGUAUAUCUACUACCCAGACCCGACCCGGUCCACGGACACCUUUAUUUUCUAAGGAUAUGUUUGAUCCCACGUAAAUUUAUAAAAUUUUUUUUUAUAUUAUUUAGUGUUUAGUUUGUAUUAAAAAAUAGGAAUAAUUUUAUCAAUAUUCUUUUAAAAAAUCGUAAUUUCAUGAAUAACCCUCUAAACUAGAAAAUAUCAUCAAUACUCCUCUUAAAAUCAAAAAUAUUCACAGAUACCCUUUAGGGCGCAUUUGGUUCAAGUUAUAUAAUAUUACAGAGUAUUUCGAUAUACCCAGGUAUCUUGAAUUUUUAAAAGAGAUUACUCCUUAUACUGCAUUAGCGCGUUUGGUUUAAUACAGUAAUGUAAUGCUGGAUUGCAGUGGUUAUAGCAUUAAUAUGUUUGAUUCUAUCUAUAAAAUUCAGUAAUCUAGAUAAUAAAGUAUAGUCUAUUACAAAAUUGUCCUUAACCCAUAUUUUGUAAACUUUUUUUUUUUUACUGUUUACAAAUAAUAUUUACUAAAUUUUAUUUUUUUUAAAUAAUUUUUUUUAAAUUUAAAAANUCUUUUUGAUACCGGUGCAUCGCAUUCCUUUGUUAGCCGAGCAUUUGCAUAGUUACAUGGUCUAAAGUUAGAAGCAUUGUCUCAGGUACGAGAGGUGUAGAUCCCAGACCAUGUCUUGCAGGUCGUGGAGUGUUGUUGGUCAUGUCCAGUGCAGCUAGACUCGUGGAUUAUUCCCACAGACCUGUUGGUGUUAGGGCAGCUGCAGGACUUCGACGUCGUGCUCGGGAUGGAUUGGCUGGCGCGGUACUAUGCUACGAUCGACUGUGGAGCGAGGACGGUGACAUUCCGCGAGCUAGGCCAGGAGGAGUUCACUUUUAGAGGCUGCAGGAGCACGCUGUUUGUUACUUGGAUAUCUUCGGCGAGGGCUCGACAGAUGCUGAGCAGUGGGUGUAUCGCUUUCCUAGCGACAGUUGUGGAGGUACCUACGACGGCGUCGGGACUCGAGGACAUCCCAGUAGUCCGCGAGUUUCCGGAUGUGUUUCCCCCUGAGUUGACGACGUUGCCGCCGGAGAGGGAGAUUGAGUUUGUGAUUGAUGUAGUUCUUGAAACUGCACCAAUCUCGAAGGUACCUUAUCGGAUGGCGCCGGCAGAGCCGAGAGAGCUAAAGGCACAGCUUCAGGAUUUGAUGGAUAGAGGGUUUGUGAGACCCAGUGUUUCACCUUAGGGAGCGCCGGUGUUGUUUGUGAAGAAGAAGGAUGGUUCACUUAGGCUGUGUGUGGAUUACCGGGAGCUGAAUAAAGUGACCAUCAAGAAUAAGUAUCCCUUGCCGCGCAUUGAUGAUUUGUUUGAUCAGCUGCAGGGAUCUUAUGUCUUCUCGAAGAUUGAUCUCCAGUUAGGUUACCACCAGUUGAGGGUGAGAGCCGAGGAUGUUCCCAAGACGGCUUUUCGGACUCGGUACGGGCAUUAUGAGUUCACGGUGAUGCCUUUUGGAUUGACGAAUGCCCCUGCCGCAUUCAUGGAUUUGAUGAACAGAGUGUUCAAGCGGUUCUUGGACAGGUUUGUGGUAGUCUUCAUCGACGAUAUCUUGAUUUAUUCCCGGAGUGAUGCUGAGCAUGAGGAGCACUUGAGGAUUGUGCUAUAGCUUCUGCGCGAGAAGAAGUUGUAUGCCAAGUUAAAGAAGUGCGAGUUCUGGCUACGGGAGGUUGCUUUCUUGGGCCACGUGAUUUCAGCUGAGGGCGUAGCAGUGAACCCGAAGAAGAUUGAGGCGAUUCGAGAUUGGCCUAGACCGACGACGGUGACUAAGGUACGGAGCUUCCUGGGACUGGCAGGAUAUUACCGUCGAUUUGUGGAAAGCUUUGCGAAGCUUUCCACAUCCCUCACACGCUUGACGCGGAAGGGGAUUCGUUUUGUCUGGAGCGACGACUGUCAGAGGAGCUUUGACAAGUUGAGACUGAGGUUGACGUCGGCUCCUAUCCUUGCCCUUCCGGUGAUGGGGGAUGGAUUCGUGAUCUAUAAUGAUGCAUCGCACAGUGGACUUGGUUGCGUGCUGAUGCAGCAUGGUAGGGUGAUUGCUUAUGCUUCACGGCAGUUAAAGGAUUAUGAGAAGAAUUACCCUACGCAUGACUUGGAGCUUGCCGCGGUGGUUUUUGCUUUGAAGCUCUGGCGGCAUUACUUGUACGGCGAGCACUGCGAGGUCUUCACCGAUCAUAAAAGUCUCAAGUAUCUGUUCACACAAAGGGAGCUGAACCUGAGGCAGCGCCGGUGGUUGGAGUUACUGAAGGACUAUAACAUUAGUAUUCAGUGUCAUCCCGGCAAGGCGAAUGUUGUGGCAGAUGCGUUGAGCAGGAAGUCAGUGCAGAGCCUGAGUUUGAGGAUUACUGAGCAGAGACCCCUACUCGAGGAGCUACAGCGGCUGGGACUUGAGAUAGUACCCCCUGGGUCUAUGGCGAGGCUGACAUCUCUAGUUUUGCAGCCCACUCUGUUGGAUAGGAUCCGAGAAAAACAGAGUGGAGAUCCGUACUUGUUGAGGAUUAGAGAGCAGCUAGACAGGGGGCAGGCUGAGGGUUUUGCUUUGGACAGUUCGGGAGUACUACGGUACAGGCACCGACUGUGUGUGCCUGUGGAUUCUGAGAUCCGAACAGACAUUCCGAGAGAGGCUCAUUGUUCUCCUUAUACGGUCCACCCAGGUGGGACCAAGAUAUAUAAGGACUUAAAGGCACGGUUUUGGUGGAAUGGAAUGAAGAGGGACAUUGGCAGAUAUGUGGCUCAGUGUUUGACUUGCCAACAGGUGAAAGCCGAGCAUCAGGUACCUGCUGGCAAGCUUCAGAGUCUGCCAGUGCCAGAGUGGAAGUGGGAGUACAUCACUAUGGAUUUCGUUGUUGGAUUGCCUAGAGCGCAGGGUAGCUACGAUGCUAUUUGGGUGAUAGUGGACAGACUGACCAAGUCUGCUCACUUCCUACCGGUUCAGACUACCUGGUCCAGAGAGAGACUUGCGCAGCUAUACUUGGAUGAGAUCGUCAGGCUGCACGGCGUGCCAGUGUCGAUUAUGUCAGACAGAGAUCCGAGGUUUGUAUCUCAGUUUUGGAGGAGUCUUCGGACAGCCUUGGGCACUCAGUUGCAUUUUAGCACGGCGUUCCACCCACAGACAGAUGGUCAGUUAGAGCGGACCAUACAGACUCUAGAGGACAUGCUUAGGGCAUGUGUCCUGGAUUUUGGAGGAGGGUGGUAUCGACAUGUGAGACUGGUUGAGUUUGCGUACAACAACAGCUAUCAAACGAGCAUUCAGAUGGCUCCGUUUGAGGCGUUGUAUCGACGCAGAUGUCGAUCCCCCCUGUUUUGGAGCAAUGUGGGUGAGCGGAGGACACUUGGACCGGACAUUCUACUUGAGGCUGAGGAAAAGGUGAGAGUCGUUCGACGACACCUUCUGACAGUACAGAGCCGACAGAGGAGCUACUCCGAUACCAGGAGACGAGACUUGGAGUUUCAGGUUGGAGAUCAUGUUUUCCUCAAAGUCUCGCCGUCCAGAGGGAUACGCCGAUUUGGAGUACGUGGAAAGCUUAGUCCACGGUUUGUUGGCCCUUUCGAGGUAUUGGAGCGUAUCGGACCGGUUGCAUACAGGAUAGCUCUACCCCCGCGACUUGUUGGCAUCCACGAUGUUUUCCACGUCUCAGCAUUGAGGAGAUACGUCUUCGAUCCCACUCACAUGAUCGACUUCACUCCAUUGGAGAUCGGCGAGGAUCUGAGAUACGAGGAGCGACCGUUGCGGAUUCUUGCUCGGGAGACGAAAGAAUUGCGCAACCGGGUCAUCCCGUAUGUGAAGGUGCAGUGGAGCAAUCACGAGGAGCGGGAGGCGACUUGGGAGCCUGAGACGGUAAUGAGGGAGUCCUACCCCGACCUGUUCGAUGCCCCGUGUUGAGGUAUGUAUUAAGUUUCGAGGACGAAACUUUUUAUAGUGGGGGAGGAUGUAGUAUUCUGAUAUAUAUAUUUUUUUUUAGUUGGUAAGUUGGGUGGAUGGAAUGCCAUGUGCACCUAACCCCUCCCCCCCCCCCCCCCCCCCCCAAUGCAUGCUUAUCAACUUAGUUCACUCAGGUUGUACAUCUCUCUAAAUUAAUUUUCUUCUCCUCUCUCUCUCUCUAGCCGAUUGUGAGCAAGGAAGAGUUCGUGUGGAGCAUUUCGUUGUCGACAUCGCGCCGCGGAGCCGUCCGAGCAUAUGUGCGUCGCCGUAGUUUCGCGAGGAGGCCGGGCGAGGGAGUGUUUUCGUCGGUCUCGACGCCGUGCCGGAAUUGGAGUCGCUGGUUGAGGUGGGUAAUCUCUCAUUCCUCCAUGGAUUUCUUCUCUACUUCAAGCUUCAUUGAAUUCGAGCGCGAGGUGCUGUUUUCACUGAUUUCCAACGUCGACCGUCGACGUUUCGGCUCCCUCUCGACGUACGAGCAUCGGAUUUUGACGAGACUUGGUUUGUUGGAUUCGGGACUUCGAGAGGAAUCCACGAAGCCCUUGCUGGUUUUGGUGGAGGUUUUCUUGGUCGGAAUUAUUCUCUUCUCUGCUGCUGUUUUUGAGGCAGAAUCGGUGCUCAUUUUCGGAUUUUACGUGUAGAGUUUGGCGGGAGCGUGAUUUCUGGCCUUUGGAGGUUUGCGGAUUGAUCCAGCAGGGUGUUCCUUUGCUUCGGGACGUCCUCGCUGCUGGGGAUUAGCAACUAAGGUGGGUUAAUCAUCGGCUUAUACUCCUAAGUGCGCAAUAGUCAACAUGUGUAAUUUCAGAUUUUGUAUAGUUUACUUUAGCUCGAAUUCAUAGAUUAAUUUGUGAAUUACAAUCUGAAUUUGGAGCAUGUGUUAAUAAAUUAAGUAAUUUAUACAUGUUGGACUUGGAAUUUGACUUAGGAGAAAACAUGCGAUUUGGACCUGUCACUUGUUUAAACUGCCUGAUUUAGCUCUAGGAGCCGUUAUA